AGAGUUUGAUCCUGGCUCAGAUUGAACGCUGGCGGCAUGCCUAACACAUGCAAGUCGAACGGCAGCACAGCAGAGCUUGCUCUGUGGGUGGCGAGUGGCGGACGGGUGAGUAAUGCAUCGGGACCUACCUCAACGUGGGGGAUAACGUAGGGAAACUUACGCUAAUACCGCAUACGUCCUACGGGAGAAAGCAGGGGACCUUCGGGCCUUGCGCGGUGAGACGGACCGAUGUUCGAUUAGCUAGUUGGUGAGGUAAUGGCUCACCAAGGCGACGAUCGAUAGCUGGUCUGAGAGGAUGAUCAGCCACACUGGAACUGAGACACGGUCCAGACUCCUACGGGAGGCAGCAGUGGGGAAUAUUGGACAAUGGGCGCAAGCCUGAUCCAGCAAUGCCGCGUGUGUGAAGAAGGCCUUCGGGUUGUAAAGCACUUUUAUCGGGAGCGAAAUACCAUUGGCUAAUAACCAGUGGGGCUGACGGUACUCGAGGAAUAAGCACCGGCUAACUUCGUGCCAGCAGCCGCGGUAAUACGAAGGGUGCAAGCGUUAAUCGGAAUUACUGGGCGUAAAGGGUGCGUAGGCGGUUUGUUAAGUCUGUCGUGAAAUCCCCGGGCUCAACCUGGGAAUGGCGAUGGAUACUGGCAAGCUAGAGUGUGUCAGAGGAUGGUGGAAUUUCCGGUGUAGCGGUGAAAUGCGUAGAGAUCGGAAGGAACAUCAGUGGCGAAGGCGGCCAUCUGGGACAACACUGACGCUGAAGCACGAAAGCGUGGGGAGCAAACAGGAUUAGAUACCCUGGUAGUCC
Molecule: ribosomal RNA, 799 nt
Filed under: uncultured bacterium
Lineage: Bacteria
Description: bacterial SSU rRNA
Rfam family: Bacterial small subunit ribosomal RNA
Source: RNAcentral